Tympanuchus pallidicinctus (lesser prairie-chicken) is the source of this 676-nucleotide long non-coding RNA. RefSeq lists it as uncharacterized. Lineage: Eukaryota; Metazoa; Chordata; Aves; Galliformes; Phasianidae. The transcript is spliced from 2 exons. The record is from RefSeq and is a predicted model, not a curated record.
AGCAGUAGGCAGUAGACCCUGUCAACUGAUGCUAUGAACUCUCACCAAGACUGAGCUGAAGAACAAGAACAAAAUUUGUCAGUUAUGUGCUGCUUGACUUUACUGAAGACUAGAAUAGAACGUGUUUUCACAUUAUUUAAAUUCUAGCCUCUAAGAGGAAGAAGAAUAAAUAUACAAUAUUGUGACUUACUUAUUAAACAUCAUCUUGAUUUUUCUAAAAAGUGCAUGUUCAGAAGAUUCAACUAAAUUUUUUUAGUAAAAUAACAUAAAAAAUGCAAUUACAGGUUAAGGCAGUUUGUAAGAGUGUGUAGGAAUAAAAGGUAUAAUAUAAUUAAUCUUUCAUGUCUCUGAUGGAAGACUCACUUCCAAACUAAUUGCUCAGUGAGUAAUUCAGUGCAUAGAAUAAACGAAUGAAAAGAACAUCAGUGCAGUAAGUGAAACAAAGUAAUCACAGGAAAGCCUUCCCAAAUAUUUACACUUGCUUAUAUGAUGUGCUUAAUUGACUGUAUUUUGAUUCUCUAAAUGCCAGUCAGAGGCAGAAGUAGCAGAAGAAAAAGCUAAUUUUUUAACCUUUUGUGACACAUCAAGAGGGAAAUAUUCUUGUAUUUUAUGUAGUGCUUUGUCAGAACAAGAUCUAUUUGUAAAGAGGGAAAUGAAUUAAAUCCCUACAACUUCA